This is a long non-coding RNA of Anolis carolinensis (green anole), 2561 nucleotides long. RefSeq lists it as uncharacterized. The record is from RefSeq and is a predicted model, not a curated record. The transcript is spliced from 2 exons. NCBI's taxonomy places the organism in Eukaryota, Metazoa, Chordata, Lepidosauria, Squamata, Anolidae.
GAUGGUUCAUAGGCAGCACCAGCCUUCCCGCUGCAUGACCUCAAAAGUUGUUGAUAUAUUUACUGUAAGAACCUGGUUCCUUUUUAUUAGCAUCAUAUGAGAAAAAGCUAUCCUAUGUUGGACAGGAGAGGACAGUUAUUUCUAUUCACUUUGUAUGGCUCCCCUUGGGAAAAUGCUUACCUUUUUAUCCUCUAGGAGGGUGAAUAGAGUAGUGGCUAAGUAUUAAAGGAGAGAAGUAUAUAUAACCAAAUAGUUCUACUACAAUGCCUACAUAUCUAUUCUGAUAUGAGGUGCAGCAGAAGGUACUAGUCUCCCUGAAUAUGUCAGGAUUUUGUCCUUUACCUCUGUCAGUAAAGUGGGUGAAAUCUGUCUCAGGCACAUUGCAGAACCUGCAAUUUCGCUGGGUUAUUUUCCAGAACAGUUGCAUUGUAACUUUCUAGCUCCUCUAGAGGAGGGUAGCUUGGGGAGGAGCCCAUUUCCUCUGUCUAUGGACUACCCAGUCCUGGGUCAAUGUAAGGUUUGAGUCCUUUGCUUCCUUCUUAAGGUUUAUUAUCAAAAGUGACCAGUAAGCAAUGUAUCUUGAAGUCACUGCAGCUUUGAUAUACAUCCAGUGUAUAGCUGACUUGCUUCUCACAUCUUUUCCUACUCUAAUUCAGGGAAUGAGAGAAGAAUAUGGAUCCAAAAAUCCCAGGGCAAAACAAGCAGAGCUUCACAAAGAUGUGUUUGGGAAUUAGCUCUGUGUAACAUUUACACACAGUUGAGUUGCUAUAUUUUUAUUCUGAAAUAUUCAAUUUUAUUAAAAAAAAACAGCAUUUUCUGCAGAAUAAUUCAUAUUUCUAUGUCAAAAUAUUUGUUUCCAUGCAGAAAAUCCAAUGGGAAUUUUGCACUGCAUAAGUCCCAAAUUAUGAAUAGUCUUUAAGAUCUGAAUAGGGGAAGAAAAUUAUUUCUUGCUUUGUUGAAAAGAAAUUUCAUGAAGAAUUAUAUCCUAUUGGAAUUGAAUAAGCUGCCAUGAUCAUAUCGGGUCUUUUUACGUAAAAAUAAUAACAGCUUUUUCAGCAUUGUCUCAAGAUCCAAUCUAAGGCCUAAGAUCGAAAAACAUUGUGUACCUUUAAAUUGCCCGUAAACCUAUGACACUCCCAUGAGUUCCAUAGUUUAGGUGAAAAAUAUUCAAGAGGUGGUUUCCUAGUUACAACUUCCUGUUGUCUCAUCCCUGUUCUUAACUAUGAGUAAUUUGUAAGUCAGAUGUUUGUAACUUGGGGACUGCCUGUAUCUGUAUCAAAAGGCAAACUAGAACAGUAGUUCUUCUUCAGUAUCCCAAGAUACACAUAUUAUUAGGAAAACAUGUUCAUAAAUAUAAUGCUGGAAAGGAUGCCUAAAUCAGCAUGAUUUAGACCUUAAAACAGAAGGCUCAAACAGAUAGGCACAAGAAUGAAUUAGUUAAAAUUGACCCAUUGGUCAAUUUCUGGCCAAAAUCAGCCAAUGAAAAUUUUAACAUCACAAAAUAAUGAAGUCAAGAUUCUUCCAAAAUACUUGGAAGAACUUCCUUUUUUUCUUUUUCCAUAUACCAGACUCUAACAUAUAGGGGACCUUACACCAAUUUAUCAGCAUCUUUGUAUCAUUAUUCUAUUCUUUAAAAUUCAUUAACACAAGGUUUAGAAAAUAGAAAACCUUUGAUUCCAAAGGUCCUUUUCUAAAAGUAAAAUCAAAGCGUAUUGUGGUACCCUAAAAACAGUACACUUAUUGUGACAAAAGCUUUCUUAAGAUCAGAGCUGCAAAGAAACCUAUGAAGGAUAUUAAGGUUUCUGGGGGGUUAUCUUCAGCAGAUUUUUAUGCAGAUUUUGCUUUUUCAUUGACGUGCAAUAACAUGUUCUUAUUUUUAUCUUAGGCUCAAUUCAUGUGAACUAACCAAAGCAUGUUGUGAAGAUCUUUUUGAAGUUCUCAAAAAGAGUAAGUCUUUGUAAGAACUAGACCCAAGCAACAAUGAGGAUCUAAAGACAAACCUAGAAGCUGAUAAACGAAGCCAGAUUAGAAAACUGAAGCGGUGCAAUUUUAGAAUACAAACAUGGCUAUAGAAGAGCAAUGUGGGGAAAUGGUUUAGAAAAAAAGUUUGUCCUUUUCCCCUCAAGUCGGUUUGACACAGAAGGCUGCAAUGACAACCAAGACUGAAGUCACAAAGAAUAUGCAGGUUUGAUUGAAAAUGUUAGAGAAUCAUUGCUAGAAGCAAAGGAGAAUAUCUGUGCAGAUUGAAUUUAACAGAUUUGGUCUGUAGGAGAAACAGACUUAAUGAAUUGUACUCUUUUCAUAUGUCCUGGAGUCAGGUGUAUGAGAUGAAAACACAAUGUAACAAUUCUUGCAAUGCAUUCAGAUUUGGUUAUUUUAAAAUUUAUAUAUUGUAAUUUUAUAUUGUAUUUAAUUGCUUUUUAACUGAUUUUAUGUACUGUUGAUUGAUUUUGUAUAGGCAUCUAAUUGUGCCAGGGUUGUAAGCCACCCUGAGUCCCUUCGGGUGAAAAGGGCGGGAUAUAAAUAUUGGAAAUAAAAUAAAUAAAUAAAUAUCAAAUGCU